AUUGAACGCUGGCGGCAUGCCUUACACAUGCAAGUCGAACGGCAACACAGCUUCAGAUUCUGCCUAGUGGCGGACGGGGGAGUAAUACAGCGGAACAUGCCCGAUCCUAGUUUUUCACGGAGCAAAACGUAUGCUAAUACCCCCUACGACCGCCUACUACCUACAGGGGACCGCAAGGCCUCGUGCGACCUGGCGCGCCGGUAUGAGCCGAUGUCGGAUUAGCUAGUUGGUGGGGUAAAGGCCCACCAAGGCGACGAUCCGUAGCUGGUCUGAGAGGAUGAUCAGCCACACUGGAACUGAGACACGGUCCAGACUCCUACGGGAGGCAGCAGUGGGGAAUUUUGGACAAUGGGCGAAAGCCUGAUCCAGUCAUGCCGCGUGCAGGAUGAAGGCCUUCGGGUUGUAAAGUGCUUUUGUAGGGAAAGAAAAGAAGCUGGUUAAUACCUGGGGUUUAUGACGGUACCGAAAGAAUAAGCACCGGCUAACUACGUG
RNAcentral lists this ribosomal RNA (492 nucleotides) under uncultured bacterium. RNAcentral's name for it is "partial 16S ribosomal RNA". It matches the Rfam family "Bacterial small subunit ribosomal RNA", at positions 30 to 507 of the family's 1533-position model. The record is from RNAcentral.